GGCCCAGGGUUUGGUAGGGCAAGAGGGCAGGUGGGUGCAAUGUUUCUUCUUUUGAUGUGUUCUUGUCUUCACCUCAGGGACCUGGACACCCUGCCUGUUGAGGCAAGGUUGUGGAUGUCCCGGGCCUUAUAGUCCCUGCUUCGCAUGAUGUGGGGCAGCAUCCAUCUGAACGCUCAUCACUACCAAGCCAAGGUUUUGGAAGGAAGUCCUUCUUCUCCCAUCUUAGUAUUAGACCAUCGGAUUCGGACACGGGACUAAGGCCGCUGACUCUGCAUCCUUUACAAGCAUAUACAGCUGCCUGUCCUUUUGCCUUGUGUCCAUCCUGGAGCGGCCUUCUGCAAGAUUCUAUGUUACCUGUCCUCGGUCCACUUGGAAUCUCUUGAGAGAGCCGAGUCCUGUGUGUUCCUAGGCCCUGCCACAGGGACCUGGACGCCCUGCCUGUUGAGGCAAAGUUGUGGAUGUCCCGGGCCUUAUGGUCCCUGCUUCGCAUGAUGUGGGGCAGCAUCCAUCUGAACGCUCAUCACUACCAAGGCCAAGGUUUUGGAAGGAAGUCCUUCUUCUCCCAUCUUAGUAUUAGACCAUCGGAUUUGGGACACGGGACUAAGGCCGCUGACUCUGCAUCCCUUACAAGCAUACACAGCUGCCUGCCCUUUUGCCUUGUGUCCAUCCAGGAGCGGCCUUCUGCAAGAUUCUAUGUUACCUGUCCUCGGUCCACUUGGAAUCUCUUGAGAGAGCCGAGUCCUGUGUGUUCCUAGGCCCUGCCACAGGUAGGUGGGUGUCCACAGAGGAUACA
Long non-coding RNA from Peromyscus eremicus (cactus mouse), 793 nucleotides. RefSeq lists it as uncharacterized. The record is from RefSeq and is a predicted model, not a curated record. The transcript is spliced from 4 exons. Lineage: Eukaryota; Metazoa; Chordata; Mammalia; Rodentia; Cricetidae.